UGGGGAAUAUUGGACAAUGGGGGCAACCCUGAUCCAGCGAUGCCGCGUGGGUGAAGAAGGCCUUCGGGUUGUAAAGCCCUUUAGGUUGGGAAGAAGGAUGAUGGAUGAAUAAGCCAUUAUUUUGACGGUACCGACAGAAUAAGCACCGGCAAACUCUGUGCCAGCAGCCGCGGUAAUACAGAGGGUGCGAGCGUUAAUCGGAGUUACUGGGCGUAAAGGGCGCGUAGGCGGUUAUACAAGAUUGAUGUGAAAGCCCUGGGCUUAACCUAGGAAGCGCAUCGAUGACUGUGUAACUGGAGUAUAUGAGAGGGUGGCGGAAUUUCCGGUGUAGCGGUGAAAUGCGUAGAGAUCGGAAGGAACGUCGAUGGCGAAGGCAGCCACCUGGCAUAAUACUGACGCUGAGGCGCGAAAGCGUGGGUAGCGAACAGGAUUAGAUACCCCGGUAGUCC
Molecule: ribosomal RNA, 449 nt
Filed under: uncultured bacterium
Lineage: Bacteria
Description: bacterial SSU rRNA
Rfam family: Bacterial small subunit ribosomal RNA
Source: RNAcentral